GGGGAAUAUUGCGCAAUGGGGGAAACCCUGACGCAGCAACGCCGCGUGCGGGAUGAAGGCCUUCGGGUUGUAAACCGCUUUCAGCAGGGACGAAGGGUUUCUGACGGUACCUGCAGAAGAAGCACCGGCUAACUACGUGCCAGCAGCCGCGGUGAUACGUAGGGUGCGAGCGUUGUCCGGAAUUAUUGGGCGUAAAGAGCUUGUAGGCGGUCCGUCACGUCGGAAGUGAAAGGCUACGGCUCAACCGUAGUGAGCCUCUGAAACUGGUGAACUUGAGUGUAGGAGAGGAAAGUGGAAUUCCCAGUGUAGCGGUGAAAUGCGUAGAUAUUGGGAGGAACACCAGUGGCGAAGGCGACUUUCUGGACUACAACUGACGCUGAGGCACGAAAGCGUGGGGAGCAAACA
This 405-nucleotide ribosomal RNA is filed under the name uncultured bacterium. RNAcentral describes it as "bacterial SSU rRNA". It matches the Rfam family "Bacterial small subunit ribosomal RNA", at positions 356 to 774 of the family's 1533-position model. The record is from RNAcentral.